GGACUACCCGGGUAUCUAAUCCCGUUGGCUCCCCUGGCUUUCGUCCAGAAGCGUCAGAUGAGUCCCAGGACACUGCCUUCGCCUUUGGUGUUCCUCCGGAUCUCUACGCAUUUCACCACUCCACCCGGAAUUCCGUGUCCCUCUGACUCCCUCAAGUCGUCUGGUUUUCUGCCGCCUUGCCAAGGUGAGCCUGGCACUGUCAGACAAGAACUUCGACGACCGCCUGCGGACCCUUUACGCCCAGUAACUCCGGACAACGCUCGCCCCCUACGUCUUACCGCGGCUGCUGGCAC
Molecule: ribosomal RNA, 293 nt
Filed under: uncultured bacterium
Lineage: Bacteria
Description: partial 16S ribosomal RNA
Source: RNAcentral